This 360-nucleotide ribosomal RNA is filed under the name Triticum aestivum (bread wheat). RNAcentral's name for it is "partial small subunit ribosomal RNA". Lineage: Eukaryota; Viridiplantae; Streptophyta; Magnoliopsida; Poales; Poaceae. The record is from RNAcentral.
AUGAGGCACCCACCGGUCCGGCGCACUCCUCAACCAGGAUGCCUGUCGGGUAUGAGGCCGCCGCAGCCAACUGCCACCAGUCUAUCUUUAGAGUUGUACUGCUGCAUCUACCUUGCCCGAUCUAGCUGCCGUCGACGCCACCACGACGCCAGACCGCGUCACCCUCCUGCGCGAGUCCAUCUUCAAGCAUCAGACGCCGAUUCACCACAACGCCAUUGCCGUCGAGAUCCGCCGCCAUCAAUGAGUGAGAUAACGCACCGGUCCACCAAAGGUUCCGUCCUCUGGUCCCUCAAUCACGUGUGUACCUUCAAUAAUGACCCCCCAAGGGGGAAACGACACCAGAGCGCCGCCGUCAUCUGA